This is a small nuclear RNA of Lepus europaeus (European hare), 162 nucleotides long. RefSeq annotates it as U1 spliceosomal RNA. The transcript has a single exon. The record is from RefSeq and is a predicted model, not a curated record. Lineage: Eukaryota; Metazoa; Chordata; Mammalia; Lagomorpha; Leporidae.
AUCCUUAUCUGGCAGGCGAGGUCCCGGAUCACAAAGGUUGCUUCUCCAGGGCAAGGCUCAUCCACUGCACCACAGAUGUGCCGGUCCUGUGACUUCCCCAGCUGUGGGAAACUCGACUGCAUAACUUGUGGUAGCGGGGGCCUGCGUUCAUGCUUUCCCCUA